Molecule: ribosomal RNA, 242 nt
Filed under: uncultured Staphylococcus sp.
Lineage: Bacteria; Bacillati; Bacillota; Bacilli; Caryophanales; Staphylococcaceae
Description: partial 16S ribosomal RNA
Rfam family: Bacterial small subunit ribosomal RNA
Source: RNAcentral
GGGACGGGUGAGUAACACGUGGAUAACCUACCUAUAAGACUGGGAUAACUUCGGGAAACCGGAGCUAAUACCGGAUAAUAUAUUGAACCGCAUGGUUCAAUAGUGAAAGACGGUUUUGCUGUCACUUAUAGAUGGAUCCGCGCCGCAUUAGCUAGUUGGUAAGGUAACGGCUUACCAAGGCAACGAUGCGUAGCCGACCUGAGAGGGUGAUCGGCCACACUGGAACUGAGACACGGUCCUAG